Molecule: ribosomal RNA, 547 nt
Filed under: uncultured bacterium
Lineage: Bacteria
Description: bacterial SSU rRNA
Rfam family: Bacterial small subunit ribosomal RNA
Source: RNAcentral
UGGGGAAUAUUGCGCAAUGGGGGGAACCCUGACGCAGCCAUGCCGCGUGAAUGAAGAAGGCCUUCGGGUUGUAAAGUUCUUUCGGUAUUGAGGAAGGUUGAUGUGUUAAUAGCACAUCAAAUUGACGUUAAAUACAGAAGAAGCACCGGCUAACUCCGUGCCAGCAGCCGCGGUAAUACGGAGGGUGCGAGCGUUAAUCGGAAUAACUGGGCGUAAAGGGCACGCAGGCGGUUAUUUAAGUGAGGUGUGAAAGCCCCGGGCUUAACCUGGGAAUUGCAUUUCAGACUGGAUAACUAGAGUACUUUAGGGAGGGGUAGAAUUCCACGUGUAGCGGUGAAAUGCGUAGAGAUGUGGAGGAAUACCGAAGGCGAAGGCAGCCCCUUGGGAAUGUACUGACGCUCAUGUGCGAAAGCGUGGGGAGCAAACAGGAUUAGAUACCCUGGUAGUCCACGCCGUAAACGCUGUCGAUUUGGGGGUUGGGGUUUAACUCUGGCGCCCGUAGCUAACGUGAUAAAUCGACCGCCUGGGGAGUACGGCCGCAAGGUUA